Small nuclear RNA from Nerophis ophidion (straightnose pipefish), 84 nucleotides. The record is from RefSeq and is a predicted model, not a curated record. Lineage: Eukaryota; Metazoa; Chordata; Actinopteri; Syngnathiformes; Syngnathidae.
AUGGAAAUGGCCCAUGUGGCCUGCAACACAUAUAUGGUUAAGGCAUUGCCACCUGCUUCGUGGCAUCUCUAACCAAGUUUUUUU